Molecule: microRNA precursor, 74 nt
Filed under: Myotis brandtii (Brandt's bat)
Lineage: Eukaryota; Metazoa; Chordata; Mammalia; Chiroptera; Vespertilionidae
Description: mir-9193 microRNA precursor family
Rfam family: mir-9193 microRNA precursor family
Source: Rfam by way of RNAcentral
GGUGGGGAGGUAAGGUCCCUCAGCAUGGAUUGCGAGAGGAUGCAGGCCAGGCCGAGGGACCCCACAGGUGCAGG